This 613-nucleotide ribosomal RNA is filed under the name uncultured bacterium. RNAcentral describes it as "bacterial SSU rRNA". The stretch from base 1 to 524 matches the Rfam family "Bacterial small subunit ribosomal RNA", at positions 338 to 873 of the family's 1533-position model. The record is from RNAcentral.
CCUACGGGAGGCAGCAGUGGGGAAUAUUGGACAAUGGGGGAAACCCUGAUCCAGCCAUGCCGCGUGAGUGAUGAAGGCCUUCGGGUUGUAAAGCUCUUUUGGCGGGGUACGAUGAUGACGGUACCCGCAGAAUAAGCCCCGGCUAACUUCGUGCCAGCAGCCGCGGUAAGACGAAGGGGGCUAGCGUUGUUCGGAAUUACUGGGCGUAAAGCGAGUGUAGGUGGUUGCCGUAGUCAGGUGUGAAAGCCUUGAGCUCAACUCAAGAAAUGCACUUGAUACUCGGCGACUAGAGGACCGGAGAGGAUAGUGGAAUUCCCAGUGUAGUGGUGAAAUACGUAGAGAUUGGGAAGAACACCAGUGGCGAAGGCGGCUAUCUGGACGGUUUCUGACACUAAGACUCGAAAGCGUGGGGAGCAAACAGGAUUAGGAUACCCUGGUAGUCCACGCCGUAAACGAUGGGUGCUAGACGUUGGCGGGCUUGCUCGGUCAGUGUCGUAGCGUACGUACGUUAACGUACACCCGCCGUCGGGUAGGUACGGCCGCGAACGGUUAGUAACGUACAAAGAAGUAAGUACGACGCGAGAGACGCGACGACGACGACGACGGAGGAGAG